CUUUUCUGUAGAUUUUUAUUAGAGCAUCACAGUUUUUGCAAUAUUUUGUCUUUUAAGCGUUUCUGAUCGGGUCGAUUUUCUUAACAAAGCUAUAGAACGAUAAGAAGAAUAUUUUGGACGAAAAUUUACGAUAAUUUCGACUUCACAACGCUGUGAAACUUGAUUCGCAAAUUUGAAGGAGCGAGCAACCCUACAAUACACAAACUUGUUCGAAAUAAGACAAAGGAUUUUUGUUUCAAAAUCGAUUUGAAGUGUUAGGUUCAGUCAACCAUUUGUAUUCUUAUCAGAAGCGAAAAUGACGACUUUAAUUUGAACAUAUCUUUUUUGCUUGAGCAAAUUGGAAUUGGCUGGCAAAGAUGAGCUGGUCGAGUCUCUUCUUGCUCUUCAAGUUUGUUAUAAAGUUCUUCAUCCCCAUUUUCCUGUAUAAUGUUCUUAAUCACUGUAUACAUUGUUUACUUAAAAAUUAUUUCAUAUUUAUAGAAAAAUCGUUCAUAAAAGUUAUCUCACUGGUGAAGUUUGACAUGCACUCUUUUGAAUUUUGUUAUUUCCAUUAUGUGCAUUAGACUUUCUUUUUUUUGCAAAUUUACAAUGCGCAUUGGAUGCA
This is a long non-coding RNA of Xenia sp. Carnegie-2017, 604 nucleotides long. RefSeq lists it as uncharacterized. NCBI's taxonomy places the organism in Eukaryota, Metazoa, Cnidaria, Anthozoa, Malacalcyonacea, Xeniidae. The transcript has 2 exons. The record is from RefSeq and is a predicted model, not a curated record.